This 462-nucleotide ribosomal RNA is filed under the name uncultured bacterium. Its description in RNAcentral is "bacterial SSU rRNA". It matches the Rfam family "Bacterial small subunit ribosomal RNA", at positions 33 to 507 of the family's 1533-position model. The record is from RNAcentral.
GACGACGCUGGCGGCGUGCCUAACACAUGCAAGUCGAGCGAGUGAAUCUCCUUCGGGAGUGAAGCUAGCGGCGGACGGGUGAGUAACACGUGGGCAACCUGCCUCAUAGAGGGGAAUAGCUUCCGAAAGGAAGAUUAAUACCGCAUAAGAUUGUAGCUUCGCAUGAAGUAGCAAUUAAAGGAGCAAUCCGCUAUGAGAUGGGCCCGCGGCGCAUUAGCUAGUUGGUGAGGUAACGGCUCACCAAGGCGACGAUGCGUAGCCGACCUGAGAGGGUGAUCGGCCACAUUGGGACUGAGACACGGCCCAGACUCCUACGGGAGGCAGCAGUGGGGAAUAUUGCACAAUGGGGGAAACCCUGAUGCAGCAACGCCGCGUGAGUGAUGACGGCCUUCGGGUUGUAAAGCUCUGUCUUCAGGGACGAUAAUGACGGUACCUGAGGAGGAAGCCACGGCUAACUACGUG